RNAcentral lists this non-coding RNA (29 nucleotides) under Rattus norvegicus (Norway rat). Lineage: Eukaryota; Metazoa; Chordata; Mammalia; Rodentia; Muridae. The record is from RNAcentral.
CCCAAAGCCCAUGAGUCGGUCACCAUGUC